Molecule: ribosomal RNA, 497 nt
Filed under: uncultured bacterium
Lineage: Bacteria
Description: bacterial SSU rRNA
Rfam family: Bacterial small subunit ribosomal RNA
Source: RNAcentral
AUUGAACGCUGGCGGCAUGCGUAACACAUGCAAGUCGAACGGUGUUUGGUGCUUGCACCAGACAUAGUGGCGGACGGGUGAGUAAUGCGUAGGAAUCUGUCUUAGAGAGGGGGACAACCCGAGGAAACUUGGGCUAAAACCGCAUAUUCUCGAGAGAGGAAAGCAGGGACCGGAAACGGCCUUGUGCUCUAAGGUGAGCCUACGUCGGAUUAGCUAGUUGGUAGGGUAAAAGCCUACCAAGGCGAUGAUCUGUAGCUGGUCUGAGAGGACGGACAGCCACACUGGGACUGAGACACGGCCCAGACUCCUACGGGAGGCAGCAGUGGGGAAUAUUGGACAAUGGGGGAACCCUGAUCCAGCGAUGCCGCGUGUGUGAAGAAGGCCUGCGGGUUGUAAAGCACUUUCAGUGGGAAAGAGAAGCGUCUUGUGAAUAAUGGGACGUGGAGACGGUUACUCACAGAAGAAGCAACCGGCUAAACUCGUAGUGCCAGCAGCCG